CUCCUACGGGAGGCAGCAGUGAGGAAUAUUGGUCAAUGGACGAGAGUCUGAACCAGCCAAGUAGCGUGAAGGAUGACUGCCCUAUGGGUUGUAAACUUCUUUUAUACGGGAAUAAAGUGAGGCACGUGUGCCUUUUUGUAUGUACCGUAUGAAUAAGGAUCGGCUAACUCCGUGCCAGCAGCCGCGGUAAUACGGAGGAUCCGAGCGUUAUCCGGAUUUAUUGGGUUUAAAGGGAGCGUAGGCGGACGCUUAAGUCAGUUGUGAAAGUUUGCGGCUCAACCGUAAAAUUGCAGUUGAUACUGGGUGUCUUGAGUACAGUAGAGGCAGGCGGAAUUCGUGGUGUAGCGGUGAAAUGCUUAGAUAUCACGAAGAACUCCGAUUGCGAAGGCAGCUUGCUGGACUGUAACUGACGCUGAUGCUCGAAAGUGUGGGUAUCAAACAGGAUUAGAUACCCUGGUAGUCCACACAGUAAACGAUGAAUACUCGCUGUUUGCGAUAUACAGUAAGCGGCCAAGCGAAAGCGUUAAGUAUUCCACCUGGGGAGUACGCCGGCAACGGUGAAACUCAAAGGAAUUGACGGGGGCCCGCACAAGCGGAGGAACAUGUGGUUUAAUUCGAUGAUACGCGAGGAACCUUACCCGGGCUUGAAUUGCAACUGAAUGAUGUGGAGACAUGUCAGCCGCAAGGCAGUUGUGAAGGUGCUGCAUGGUUGUCGUCAGCUCGUGCCGUGAGGUGUCGGCUUAAGUGCCAUAACGAGCGCAACCCUUAUCGAUAGUUACCAUCAGGUUAUGCUGGGGACUCUGUCGAGACUGCCGUCGUAAGAUGUGAGGAAGGUGGGGAUGACGUCAAAUCAGCACGGCCCUUACGUCCGGGGCUACACACGUGUUACAAUGGGGGGUACAGAAGGCAGCUACACGGCGACGUGAUGCUAAUCCCUAAAGCCUCUCUCAGUUCGGAUUGGAGUCUGCAACCCGACUCCAUGAAGCUGGAUUCGCUAGUAAUCGCGCAUCAGCCACGGCGCGGUGAAUACGUUCCCGGGCCUUGUACACACCGC
Molecule: ribosomal RNA, 1054 nt
Filed under: uncultured bacterium
Lineage: Bacteria
Description: bacterial SSU rRNA
Rfam family: Bacterial small subunit ribosomal RNA
Source: RNAcentral